This 86-nucleotide transfer RNA is filed under the name Dolosicoccus paucivorans. RNAcentral's name for it is "tRNA-Leu". It matches the Rfam family "tRNA". From Rfam's summary of the family: Transfer RNA (tRNA) molecules are approximately 80 nucleotides in length. The record is from RNAcentral. Lineage: Bacteria; Bacillati; Bacillota; Bacilli; Lactobacillales; Aerococcaceae.
GGCGCUGUGGCGGAAUUGGCAGACGCGUUGGACUCAAAAUCCAAUGUCCUUUGGACGUGUCGGUUCGAUCCCGACCAGCGCUAUCA